GACGAACGCUGGCGGCGUGCUUAACACAUGCAAGUAGAACGAAGUGGCGAACGGGGGAGUAAUACGUGGGUAACCUGCCCUCAUUUUUGGGAUAAGCCUUGGAAACGGGGUCUAAUACCGAAUAAAGGGGGAUGGGCUCGCGGCCUAUCAGCUUGUUGGGGGGGUGAUGGCCUACAACGGCGGUGACGGGUAUCCGGCCUGAGAGGGUGACCUGCCACAGUGGGACUUGGUGACGGCCGAUACUCGUACUGGAGGAAGCCGUGGGGUAUAUUGCACGUUGGGCGAACGCCUGAUGCAUCGACGCCGCGUGGGGGAUGAAGGUUUUCGGGUUGUAACCCGCUUGCGCUAGCUAUCGGCUAGGUGGAGAAGAAGCGCCGGCUAACUCCGUGCCAGCAGCCGCGGUAAUUC
RNAcentral lists this ribosomal RNA (408 nucleotides) under uncultured bacterium. RNAcentral describes it as "partial 16S ribosomal RNA". It matches the Rfam family "Bacterial small subunit ribosomal RNA", at positions 28 to 526 of the family's 1533-position model. The record is from RNAcentral.